GAUGAACGCUGGCGGCGUGCCUAAUACAUGCAAGUCGAGCGAACAGACGAGGAGCUUGCUCCUUUGACGUUAGCGGCGGACGGGUGAGUAACACGUGGAUAACCUACCUAUAAGACUGGGAUAACUUCGGGAAACCGGAGCUAAUACCGGAUAACAUGUUGAACCGCAUGGUUCACCAGUGAAAGACGGUCUUGCUGUCACUUAUAGAUGGAUCCGCGCCGCAUUAGCUAGUUGGUAAGGUAACGGCUUACCAAGGCAACGAUGCGUAGCCGACCUGAGAGGGUGAUCGGCCACACUGGAACUGAGACACGGUCCAGACUCCUACGGGAGGCAGCAGUAGGGAAUCUUCCGCAAUGGGCGAAAGCCUGACGGAGCAACGCCGCGUGAGUGAAGAAGGUCUUCGGAUCGUAAAACUCUGUUAUUAGGGAAGAACAAAUGUGUAAGUAACUAUGCACGUCUUGACGGUACCUAAUCAGAAAGCCACGGCUAACUACGUG
RNAcentral lists this ribosomal RNA (497 nucleotides) under uncultured bacterium. RNAcentral describes it as "partial 16S ribosomal RNA". It matches the Rfam family "Bacterial small subunit ribosomal RNA", at positions 28 to 507 of the family's 1533-position model. The record is from RNAcentral.